RNAcentral lists this ribosomal RNA (253 nucleotides) under uncultured bacterium. RNAcentral's name for it is "partial 16S ribosomal RNA". It matches the Rfam family "Bacterial small subunit ribosomal RNA", at positions 524 to 776 of the family's 1533-position model. The record is from RNAcentral.
UACAGAGGUCUCAAGCGUUGUUCGGAUUCACUGGGCGUAAAGGGUGCGUAGGCGGCCUGGUAAGUCUGUUGUGAAAUCUCCAAGCUUAACUUGGAAACUGCAGUGGAUACUAUCCGGCUAGAGGAAUGGAGGGGAGACUGGAAUACUUGGUGUAGCAGUGAAAUGCGUAGAUAUCAAGUGGAACACCAGUGGCGAAGGCGAGUCUCUGGACAUUUCCUGACGCUGAGGCACGAAAGCCAGGGGAGCAAACGGG